CGCUUAUUCUGAUAGAGCAACGGUUUCCUAAACCGUCGAUCUGGGUUCGAGUCCCGGCAGGAGUACCA
RNAcentral lists this transfer RNA (68 nucleotides) under Verrucomicrobiota bacterium. RNAcentral describes it as "tRNA-Arg". It matches the Rfam family "tRNA", at positions 9 to 71 of the family's 71-position model. Rfam says of the family: Transfer RNA (tRNA) molecules are approximately 80 nucleotides in length. Their secondary structure includes four short double-helical elements and three loops (D, anti-codon, and T loops). Lineage: Bacteria; Pseudomonadati; Verrucomicrobiota. The record is from RNAcentral.